Molecule: ribosomal RNA, 552 nt
Filed under: Alloscardovia omnicolens
Lineage: Bacteria; Bacillati; Actinomycetota; Actinomycetes; Bifidobacteriales; Bifidobacteriaceae
Description: bacterial SSU rRNA
Rfam family: Bacterial small subunit ribosomal RNA
Source: RNAcentral
UCUCCUGGAAACGGGUGGUAAUGCCGAAUGUUCCACAUGCUCGCAUGGGUGUGUGGGAAAACGUUUUAGUGCUAUGCGAUGGGAUCGCGUCCUAUCAGCUUGUUGGUGGGGUAGUGGCCUACCAAGGCUUCGACGGGUAGCCGGCCUGAGAGGGCGACCGGCCACAUUGGGACUGAGAUACGGCCCAGACUCCUACGGGAGGCAGCAGUGGGGAAUAUUGCACAAUGGGGGGAACCCUGAUGCAGCGACGCCGCGUGCGGGAUGACGGCCUUCGGGUUGUAAACCGCUUUUAUUGGGGAGCAAGCGUGAGUGAGUGUACCUUUUGAAUAAGCACCGGCUAACUACGUGCCAGCAGCCGCGGUAAUACGUAGGGUGCAAGCGUUGUCCGGAAUUAUUGGGCGUAAAGAGCUCGUAGGCGGUUUGUCGCGUCUGGUGUGAAAGUCCAUCGCUUAACGGUGGAUUGGCGCUGGGUACGGGCAGGCUAGAGUGUAGUAGGGGAGACUGGAAUUCUCGGUGUAACGGUGGAAUGUGUAGAUAUCGGGAAGAACACCA